Hypanus sabinus (Atlantic stingray) is the source of this 1796-nucleotide long non-coding RNA. RefSeq lists it as uncharacterized. NCBI's taxonomy places the organism in Eukaryota, Metazoa, Chordata, Chondrichthyes, Myliobatiformes, Dasyatidae. The transcript is spliced from 3 exons. The record is from RefSeq and is a predicted model, not a curated record.
GUGAGACAAGCCAGGGAGAAAUUAUUUGAGAAAGGGGGAAAGUUGACCGCUGAGUCAUUCAACUUCAGGGACUCCCUAGUUCCUGCAGGUUGGAAGAGGAGGCUGGUAGAGAAGAUGUUGAAGCUGGAAGGUGUCUUUUCCACUGAUGAGUUUGAUGUGAGUUGUUCCAAGAGCACUCAUCACACUAUCUAGGUGACCGAGGAAAGCUUGUUUAGAGAGCAGUUGCGGGAGACUGGCCCCUGCAGAUGUAGAGGAUGUUCAGCAGCAUUUGUGUAAGCUGAAGGAAACUGGGAUCAAAGUCUCAAAGCCCCUAUGCAUCCCCAAUAGUAGCAGCCUUAAAGAAGAAUGGGAAGGUACGGAUGUAUGUGGACUAUAGGUCUCUGAACAAGCAUACUAUCCCUGACCAGCAUACGGUCCCGAGGAUUGAAAACACGCUGGCCUGCCUGAGUGGUGUGAAGUGGUUCAGUGUGCUGGACUUGAGGAGUGGAUAUUACCAGAUCCCCAUGAGAGAGGCGGACUAAGAGAAGACAGCAUUUAUAAGUCCCCUGGGGUUUUUCCAGUUCAAAUGGAUGCAAAACUGGGCUGAAAAGUGGCAGAUGGAGUUCAACUCAGUUAAGUGUGAGGUAGUUCAAUUUGGUAGAUCAAAUUUGAUGGCAUAAUAUAGCAUUAACGGCAAGACACUUGAUAGUGUGGAGGAUCAGAAGGAUCUUGGGGUCCGAGUCCAUAGGACGCUCAAAGCUUCUAUGCAGUUUGACUCUAUGGUUAAGAAGGCAUACGGUGCAUUGGCUUUCAUCCACCGUGGGACUAAGUUUAAGAGCCAAGAGGUAAUGUUGCAGUUAUAUAGGACCCUGGUCAGACCUCACUUAGAGUACUGUGCUCAGUUCUGGUCACCUCACUACAGGAAGGACGUGGAAACCAUAGAAAGCAUGCAGAGGAGAUCUACAAGGAUGUUGCCUGGACUGGGGAGCCUGGAAGUAGAGGAGAUGUCAGGGGUAAGUUUUUUUACACAGAGAGUGGUGAGUGUGUGGAAUGGGCUGCCGGUGGUGGUGGUGGAGGUGGAAUUGGAAACAUUAGGGUGUUUUAAGAGACUCCUGGAUGGAUACAUGGAGCUUAGAAAAAUAGAGGGCUGUGGGUAAGGCUCGGUAGUUCUAAGGUAAGGACAUGUUCAACACAGCUUUGUGGGCCAAAGGGCCUGUAUUUGCUGUAGUAGGUUUUCUAUGUUCUAUGCUUCUACGAGGACAUGACUAAAUUUGGUGGAGGGAGAGUGUAAUGCGCUGUAAGGUUUCACUGCUAAUGUAAUGGCCUCUCUGUAAUGUCCUAGCAGCAAUGUUUGGGUUAUGACUAGAGAUAACGGGGGUUUUGGAAUGUGUCCUAGCCAAUGAGUGGGAUCUUGUUCUUUCUUGUGGAGUCUGGGAGCAGGAAUUUCACAGUCUUUUGCCAAGGAGAGAUGAGGAGAGAAGACGUGAAUGGAGGGAAUUGGUAGACAGCCAGAUGGAGUGGACUUGGAGCAAGGGACCGAAGGUCGGCUACACUCAGAGGAGGGGAACAAAUGGACAGAACCGACAGGACCACAAUGAAAAUACUGAUUUAGGAGAGCUUCCAACAAUGCCAUUCUCUCACAAAGAUCCCAUGACAAGAUUGUAAAUGGAUUGGGUUUUUUUUCAGCCUCCUCACCAUGGCGGGACAGCAACCUUCCAAAAAGGUAAGCAACACCAACAAAAUGCUGGAGGAAUUUGGCAGGUCAGGUAGCAUAUCUGGAGAGGAAUAAAGAGUCAAUGUGUUGGGCCGGGACCCUU